CUGUUAGGCGCUAGGUCCACUACUGCUUCAUCUCUCAGUUUCCAUCUCUCUCACCUCCCACUCAGUCUCUCUCACUCCUACUUUCUCAGACUCUCAUAGUCGCACUCACACCUCUGGCUCUUACUCUCACCUCUCGGCUAUCACUCUCACAGUCAAUUGCCCCCUGUUCACCACAUCGUUUCACACAGACACACAUCGGCAUUGAUGCGCAACUUCACUAUUGUUGCCAUUCACCACUUAGUCUGAGCCCCUAAUAUCCGGCUAGCAACAACGAGGUACGACUCCAAACUCCACACUCCAAUACUCAUCUUAAUUUAUAUGUAUUCAGCCACAGAAUUUUUUGCAAUUUUUAAUUUACUUGAAUUAGUUUAGAUAAAUGAAUUGUGUCACGUUGAAUUCAAUUAGUUUAGGUAAUACGUUUAGCUCAAUAUCUCUAAGGGACUAAUUUAGCUUAGGUCUAGUGUACAAAUUAAACUCCCUCAUUUUCUGACUAGAGUUUUACCUGAAGGAAUAGAGCCAAGCCAAUUAAAGGAUUUUUGCAAGUCGGAUUUAGGGUGCCGUUUGAUAAAACUGAAGUCUGAAAUUUGAAAUAUAAAUUCAUUAAAUUAUUGAAUUGUUAAGUAUUCAAUCUAAUACAUUUGAGUGUAUAUCACAUUCAGUGAUAAGUGAAUAGCUUAUCACUUAAUUUUGGGAGCAAAUUUUGUCUAGAAAAUUUAGUGCCACUUAAUUAAUUCAGAUGUUCAAUUUUUGAUUAUCAAACGGUUUGAAUAUAUUAAAAUCUGAAUCCAUUAAAUUUAAGUUGUGAAUUGAGUUAUUAAACAGGGCCUUAGUCCUGCUGCUACUUAUGUCCUAUGAUAUAAAUUAACCUGAAAUCAAGCCUAUGCGAUAAAUUAAUCUAAAUUUUUUCCUACCACUUAUGUCCUGCUAUUUGAAAUCAAGCCUGCUGCUACUUAUGUCCUGCUGCUACCAAGCCUGUGAUAUAAAUUAAUUUGAAUUUUUCCAUUCUAUUGCUACUUAUGUCCUGCUGCAAAUUGUUAACAAAUCAUAUUUGUCGUUUCAAACAAAACCAAAUGUAUCCAUGUCCAACUCCAAUCAAAUAUUUGUUGCUACUUACAUUGGUUAGAGGUUCUGAUUUCAUUUUCAAUUUUGUUUUUAUACUAGUAAACAUGUUUGGGAAUAUCAAGGAGAGGGAACGUUCAAGUGACUCGCUACAAGAAAAAUAGGGCUUUUGUGACCUGUAAAAUUUUGAGGGUCAUAAAUAUGAAUUCUUUUAUGACUACAAGUUGCAUAUCACAACAAAAAAAAAAGCAAUAAAAUUGCAUCAUUUUACAAUCUUAUGUGACCUGCAACAAUUCCCAUCUAUACGAGUUGCAAAAUGUCCAUAAAACAGUGUCGUAUCUCUUCCUCAUUCUUUUGAAACCCAUAAAACUGUGUCAUAUCUCUUUCUUUUCAUAAAGCUUCAAAUCUCUCUUUUUCUAAUAUUUUCUCCAAACCACUCACUUUAAGUCUGCUUUUUAAUUCAACCUCAACUUUCAUCAAAGAAAUUUCUUCAAGUUUCAACCACAUUUUCGUUAAUUUCUUAUGAAGCUCGCAAUACAACAAAGCAAAUUCUAAAUAUUGGCGAACCACCCAGAAGUCAAACUCUUCAAGUUUCAAAUUUUCGCCUGACCAAUUCCAACUCUUCGAGACCAAACAUGAAACGACUAAGAUUUCCCAGAUACUUCAGCUCGCUUGUUUUGAUUUUUUUUCAAAUUCUCUUUUUUUGUGAUAUUUUUCAAUGUUGUAGUAUUCCAAAUAAAGAAGGAAUUUGGUAUUUCUUUCCCCUAAUUUGUGCUUUUUGUUGAAUGAUUUCUUUUUAUUUGAUGAUCUUGUGUGUUUAGUUGCGCUAUUUAAUUUGAAGGUCUUCAUGGAUAUAUAUAUAUAUAUAUAGAGGCAUGCAAUUGUUUCGAAAUCGAUAGAAUUUGAACUUUACUGCAAGGUUUGCUGUUUAUUGAAGUUAGGGGUUUUUAACAGGAGUAAUACUACUAUGAAAUUCAUAUAGUUUUGUUGUUAUCUCUCAUAUUGUUACUAUAGUCUUAGCAUUUUUCACAGAUCAACUUUAAAUUAUGGAAUUAUUAGUCUACAUGUUCAUAUACGUAACUACUAAUAUGCAAGUUUUAUAUUUUUUUAAAUUUUAGUGAGCAUAUCAAUGUCUUGUUUGCUCUGUUUUGCAUUUUUGAGAAAUUUCUUAUUAUUAUUCUACUCAAAUGACUUUAAUUUUGCUAGUAGUAGUUGAUUGGAUGGAAUGGCUGAAUUAAUUGUUUAAAUCAGUUGGAAUCUAGCCAGGGAAAUGCUUUCCCUACCUCUUUUCCCUUUUCCAGUUUAUGUUAAUUGUGCUGAGGCCUUCUCUCUGCAUAAUGAAAUUUAGUAGUUGUCUAUGAUGAAUGUAGCUCAGCACUAACUUGGUUAAAUAAAAAAAAAUCUGUGUAAACAUUGACGAUGCCAAUGACAACACAAGUUAUAGUGUCAAAUUGGUUAGAAACUCUCCUUUGCAUAUGAUUUUUUUGUAGGAUUUGAGCUUUUAGUUACUUAUUAGUGUUGUUUGGAUGACACUUAGAAAAAUGAGAUAUGGUUAGUAUUUUGUUGGUUUGAAGGAAAGAAAAUAAAAUUAUUUUAACAUAUCAAAGUUUAGUAGAUAUGCAUAAUUUAGGUAUGGAUCUUCCGUCCUUACGUUUCAUAGAUGAUUCCCAUUGAAUUCUUUUUGAUGCUUAUAGGUAUGUCACCCAGUUCUCUUAUAUAUUCAUGCUCAUCACCAGGAAAGUUUGAAUAUGUGGGGAACAACGAGAUUGUGUUCUUCAAUCUGGCAACAUAGAGAGUUUUAACAAUUCAGCUUCUAGUAAUAUGCUUAAUCACCAAUGGUUUUGAAAUCUUGCUAUAUGAUAAUCUUAUUUUAUAUUAGUAUCAAUUUACCUUCAUUUUUGGAUUGAACAG
This 2970-nucleotide long non-coding RNA is filed under the name Coffea arabica (coffee). Its description in RNAcentral is "long non-coding RNA (CARA_LNC006267)". Lineage: Eukaryota; Viridiplantae; Streptophyta; Magnoliopsida; Gentianales; Rubiaceae. The record is from RNAcentral.